UGAGGAACAUGACCUUCGGCGGGGGAUAGCCGGCCCAACGGCCGGGUAAUACCGCGUACGACCUUUCGGGGACAUCCCCGGCUGGUGAAAGCAGCAAUGCACCGAAGGAGUGCCUCGCGGCCUAUCAGCUAGUUGGUGAGGUAACGGCUCACCAAGGCGACGGACGGGUAGCUGGUCUGAGAGGAUGGCCAGCCANAUUGGGACUGAGACACGGCCAGACUCCUACGGGNGCAGCAGG
RNAcentral lists this ribosomal RNA (238 nucleotides) under uncultured bacterium. RNAcentral's name for it is "partial 16S ribosomal RNA". It matches the Rfam family "Bacterial small subunit ribosomal RNA", at positions 118 to 354 of the family's 1533-position model. The record is from RNAcentral.